UGCAAGUCGAGCGAAGAGAUGGGAGCUUGCUCCCUGAUCUUAGCGGCGGACGGGUGAGUAACACGUGGGCAACCUGCCCUGCAGACUGGGAUAACUCCGGGAAACCGGAGCUAAUACCGGGUAAUACAUCGCACCGCAUGGUGCAAUGUUGAAAGUUGGCUUUCGAGCUAACACUGCAGGAUGGGCCCGCGGCGCAUUAGCUAGUUGGUAAGGUAAUGGCUUACCAAGGCGACGAUGCGUAGCCGACCUGAGAGGGUGAUCGGCCACACUGGGACUGAGACACGGCCCAGACUCCUACGGGAGGCAGCAGUAGGGAAUCUUCCGCAAUGGACGAAAGUCUGACGGAGCAACGCCGCGUGAGUGACGAAGGCCUUCGGGUCGUAAAGCUCUGUUGUUAGGGAAGAACAAGUACCGUUCGAAUAGGGCGGUACCUUGACGGUACCUAACCAGAAAGCCACGGCUAACUACGUGCCAGCAGCCGCGGUAAUACGUAGGUGGCAAGCGUUGUCCGGAAUUAUUGGGCGUAAAGCGCGCGCAGGCGGUCUUUUAAGUCUGAUGUGAAAGCCCACGGCUCAACCGUGGAGGGUCAUUGGAAACUGGAGGACUUGAGUGCAGAAGAGGAGAGUGGAAUUCCACGUGUAGCGGUGAAAUGCGUAGAUAUGUGGAGGAACACCAGUGGCGAAGGCGGCUCUCUGGUCUGUAACUGACGCUGAGGCGCGAAAGCGUGGGGAGCAAACAGGAUUAGAUACCCUGGUAGUCCACGCCGUAAACGAUGAGUGCUAGGUGUUGGGGGGUUCCACCCUCAGUGCUGAAGUUAACACAUUAAGCACUCCGCCUGGGGAGUACGACCGCAAGGUUGAAACUCAAAGGAAUUGACGGGGGCCCGCACAAGCAGUGGAGCAUGUGGUUUAAUUCGAAGCAACGCGAAGAACCUUACCAGGUCUUGACAUCCUCUGACAAUCCUGGAGACAGGACGUUCCCCUUCGGGGGACAGAGUGACAGGUGGUGCAUGGUUGUCGUCAGCUCGUGUCGUGAGAUGUUGGGUUAAGUCCCGCAACGAGCGCAACCCUUGAUCUUAGUUGCCAGC
RNAcentral lists this ribosomal RNA (1087 nucleotides) under Guptibacillus hwajinpoensis. Its description in RNAcentral is "bacterial SSU rRNA". It matches the Rfam family "Bacterial small subunit ribosomal RNA", at positions 56 to 1122 of the family's 1533-position model. The record is from RNAcentral. Lineage: Bacteria; Bacillati; Bacillota; Bacilli; Caryophanales; Guptibacillaceae.